GGAAGGAAGGAAGGAAGGAAGGAAGGAAGGAAGGAAGGAAGGAAGGAAGGAAGGAAGGGAGGAAGGGAGGAAGGGAGGAAGGGAGGGAGGAAGGGAGGAAGGGAGGAAGGGAGGAAGGGAGGAAGGGAGGAAGGAAGGAAGGACCCAGAUUAAUAGAUAAAUAGAGGUGAAGAGGUAUUUGUUGAUUGUUUACAUCUGUGCAUAGUCCAACUCCAGAGUCUGGUGGCCUGUCUGUGUGUUUCUCCUGGUCAAGUUAUCUUCAAGAGGCUCCUUUCUCCUAGGCUGUUCUUGUAUGAAAAUGCACAUAACAAAUAAAUGAUAUAAAAGCAGAUAAAGUGACUCUGAAUAGUCCCUGCUGAUUCAAAUCAGUUAGAGCACCAGCAAGGAAGAGAAAGCAAAAUGGCUAAUUAAGAAAUGAUGAACACUCUGCAUCUGAUUCCAAAUGUCCUGAAAGCAUACAUCCAUCAACAUGAUUCAGUAUUUUACAGCCUGGUUCUGCAAGAGUUAUCUAUAAGCCUCUGUUAA
This 525-nucleotide long non-coding RNA is filed under the name Cyanistes caeruleus (blue tit). RNAcentral's name for it is "lncRNA (ENSCCEG00000022798.1)". The record is from RNAcentral. Lineage: Eukaryota; Metazoa; Chordata; Aves; Passeriformes; Paridae.